RNAcentral lists this ribosomal RNA (498 nucleotides) under uncultured Paenibacillus sp. RNAcentral's name for it is "bacterial SSU rRNA". It matches the Rfam family "Bacterial small subunit ribosomal RNA", at positions 22 to 507 of the family's 1533-position model. Lineage: Bacteria; Bacillati; Bacillota; Bacilli; Caryophanales; Paenibacillaceae. The record is from RNAcentral.
GUGCACGAGACACGCUGGCGGCGUGCCUAAUACAUGCAAGUCGAGCGGAUUUGUUCCUUCGGGGACAAGUUAGCGGCGGACGGGUGAGUAACACGUAGGUAACCUGCCUAUAAGAUCGGGAUAACUAUCGGAAACGAUAGCUAAGACCGGAUAACUGGUUUUCUCGCAUGAGAGAACUAUGAAACACGGAGCAAUCUGUGGCUUAUAGAUGGGCCUGCGGCGCAUUAGCUAGUUGGUAGGGUAAUGGCCUACCAAGGCGACGAUGCGUAGCCGACCUGAGAGGGUGAACGGCCACACUGGGACUGAGACACGGCCCAGACUCCUACGGGAGGCAGCAGUAGGGAAUCUUCCGCAAUGGACGCAAGUCUGACGGAGCAACGCCGCGUGAGUGAUGAAGGUUUUCGGAUCGUAAAGCUCUGUUGCCCUAGACGAACAGCAGGGAGAGUAACUGCUCUCUGUAUGACGGUAUAGGAGAAGAAAGCCCCGGCUAACUACGUG